CAGACUUUGAAAUAGAGAUUUGCAUGCAGGAGGUUUGAAUGAGGGAGUGUGCUCAGGAAGAACCCCUGUGAGGGAGUGAGGGAAGCAAGAUCGGGCAGAGGGAGUCGUGGGACUGCGUGCGAUGCAGCUGCACUGGAGGCCUGGAGCUGAAAUGACCUUCAGAAUUGUGCUGAACUGAGGCAAGGGGACCAGGCUUUUUUCCCUGGCACCAACAGUCGUUGAGGGCAGGCCGACCCCAGGGAAGAGGCAUAACUUUGGUGAGGCAAUUCCCUUCAGUGGGCCAGCUCCCAGAAAGAGCAGUAGCUGUCAACCUUCAGCAGCAGGCACUCCCGGGAGCCAGGGAAAUGAAUGCCUCCUUUUGAAGGGGACAUCUGGGCAGUGCGCAGAAUACAUUACACCAAAUAAGGUUUUUCCAUAAUUAGCUCAAACUGCUUGAGCUGCAAAAGAAGAACUUUAAAGCUGGGUAUUUCUCUUCUGGGAAGCAAGUUCCCCAAGGACAGUUUGUGACCUAUUCAGACCAACAGAAGAGAGCAAGCCCAUUGGAAAAGAGCUAAUUACAAGUUGAGACUCAAGGAAUUGGCUCACGCCAGUUAUGGAGGCCAAGAAGUCCCAUGGUCUGCCAUCCCCAAGCUGGAGAACCAGGAAAGCUGCUGAUGUAACUCAGACCCAGUCUGAAGGCCUGAGAAUGGGGUGGAGGUGAGGGAGCCCCAUGGUGUCAGUCCUGGUCAGAGUCUGAAAACCCAAGGAGGACCAGAGGCACCAAUGUCCUAGGGCAGGAAAAGAUAGAUGUCUCACCUCAAACAGAGAGAGCAAAUUCACCCUUCCUCCACCUUUUUGUUCUGUUCAGGCCCUCAAUGGAUUGGAUGAUGCCCACCCACAUUAGUAAGGGAGAUCUUCUUCACUCAGUCUACUGAUUCAAAUGCUAAUCUCUCUGGCGUGUGUCAGAGACACACCCAGAAAUAAUGUUUUAUAGGCUAUCUGGGCAUCCUUUAGCCUAGUAAAGUUGACACGUGAAAUUAACCAUCACGCCCAGUCAAAUCAAUAUUUAUUAACAGCCUCCAUUACGCAAAGCACAGCACUAGAUACUGUGCAAAAUACAAAAGAAAUGAGAAAUGUAACCCUGCCUUCAGAGUGUACAAUGUAAUAUUCUCUUGUGUGAGCACACUAUCAGUGGGAAAAGAAAAAAGAGCUACCCCAGAAUACCCGAUCUCUUUUUCUGGAGGAUGAAGCUUUCAUGGACUACUUCUAUUACAGGAUGAAGAAGCUUCACGCCUAACAGAAUAUCCUCUGACUUCUUUGUUUCAUUUUUUCUUCUCUACAAACAAUUUCUAAAGUAAAGAGGAAAAUAUUUCUACUUACUUACAAAAAUGAAUUCUUAUUUCUCAUUUUUUCCCUCUAUUUGCAGCCCUCUUUUUUCCUACUUCCAAUCAGCUCUUUUCCAUAGGUGAAUUAUGUAAGUUUAAUACUUUAUUAAUUGUUAAAUAUUGGUAUUGAAAAGAACAUGGCAAGUUACCUUUGAUUCAUAUGUAUUCAUAAA
This 1537-nucleotide long non-coding RNA is filed under the name Equus asinus (donkey). Its description in RNAcentral is "lncRNA (ENSEASG00005027382.1)". Lineage: Eukaryota; Metazoa; Chordata; Mammalia; Perissodactyla; Equidae. The record is from RNAcentral.